GGGGUUAUGGUCCAAACGGUUUAAAAAUUAGGGGCCCAAAGGGGUCCAAAACAAGUAUUUAUUUAGUUUCUGGACAAUAAGUAUUUCAUUUGCUCUGAUAUUGUACCACAAUGUUCAUACCAUAAAGUAGAAGAUUGAAAUUUAUUUUAAGGGUUAUGGGGCAAACAGUCUUGGAAUUAAGGGCCAAAAAGGGUCCAAAAACAAGCAUUUUUGUAGUUUCGGGACAAUAACUUAUGUAUAACUGUAUGGAUCUCUCUGACAUUGUACCACAAGGGUUCCAUUUAACGAAGGGAAGGCUUUGGUUUAGUUUGGGGUUAAUAACCCUGAACAUUUAGGAAUAAGGGGCC
This 347-nucleotide long non-coding RNA is filed under the name Mytilus galloprovincialis (Mediterranean mussel). Lineage: Eukaryota; Metazoa; Mollusca; Bivalvia; Mytilida; Mytilidae. The record is from RNAcentral.